GCAGAUCCACCCAAACCUUCACAGAAACUUCCUGUGCGGCCGCCCGGCGUCCUCAUCCUGCAUGUGGAAUUCCCGGACGAUCCCCUUGUAGAUGAGGAUCGGGACGGCGAUGCCGAAGAUGCCGACGAUGGCGAGGUUGCGACGGGUCCAGCGGAAGUUGAACUCCAGAUCCUCGCGGCCGGCGUUCCAGGCCUCGAUGAAUUUGUUCUUGUUCACCUCCAUUCCACCUCCCAUCUUGGAUUCUUG
RNAcentral lists this unclassified non-coding RNA (246 nucleotides) under Hevea brasiliensis (rubber tree). Lineage: Eukaryota; Viridiplantae; Streptophyta; Magnoliopsida; Malpighiales; Euphorbiaceae. The record is from RNAcentral.